Molecule: ribosomal RNA, 446 nt
Filed under: Lotus corniculatus
Lineage: Eukaryota; Viridiplantae; Streptophyta; Magnoliopsida; Fabales; Fabaceae
Description: eukaryotic LSU rRNA
Rfam family: Eukaryotic large subunit ribosomal RNA (bases 304-446)
Source: RNAcentral
UGCAGAAUCCCGUGAACCAUCGAGUCUUUGAACGCAAGUUGCGCCCGAAACCAUUAGGUCGAGGGCACGUCUGCCUGGGUGUCACACAUCGUUGCCCCAACGCCAAAUGCUUCGUGCUAUGCGGCGUGCGGGGUGAAUGUUGGCCUCCCGCGAGCUAAGGCUCACGGUUGGCUUAAAUUUGGGUCCAUGGUAGGGUAUGCCAUGAUGGAUGGUGGUUGAGUAACGCUCGAGACCAAUCAUGGGUAACCUUAUCAUGCUUGGGACCUAUAGACCCGCAUGCGUGGUGUAACCGCGCUCACAAUGAGACCUCAGGUCAGGCGGGGCUACCCGCUGAGUUUAAGCAUAUCAAUAAGCGGAGGAAAAGAAACUAACAAGGAUUCCCUUAGUAACGGCGAGCGAACCGGGAAGAGCCCACCAUGAGAAUCGGUCGCCUAAGGCGUCUGAAU